Molecule: ribosomal RNA, 480 nt
Filed under: uncultured bacterium
Lineage: Bacteria
Description: partial 16S ribosomal RNA
Rfam family: Bacterial small subunit ribosomal RNA
Source: RNAcentral
GACGAACGCUGGCGGCGUGCUUAACACAUGCAAGUCGAACGAUGAACCUCGAAAUGGUUUCUUCGGAAAGCUUUUUGAGAGGAUUAGUGGCGAACGGGUGAGUAACGCGUGAGAAACCUGCCUUAGACAAGGGGAUAGCCUCGGGAAACCGUGAUUAAUACCCUAUGAGACUCCACUUCCGCGUGUAAGAGAAGUUACAGCUAUUGCGGUCUAAGAUGGGCUCGCGUCUGAUUCGCUAGUUGGUGAGAUAAAAGCCCACCAAGGCGACGAUCAGUAACCGGGUAGUGAGAGAGAGCGCACACAUUGGAACGGAGACACGGUCGAGAAUCUUAGGGGAGGCGGGAAAGGGGAAUAUUGCAAAAUGGCGUGAAGCAUGAAGGAGCGAGGCCGCUUGAGCGAUGAAGGAAGGCGUGACGUAAAGCUCUGUCCUAGCAGAAGAUAAUGACGGUAACCAAGGAGGAAGCACCGGCUAACUACGUG